ACCGCACGGUAGGAAGGGGUGACGCCUCUGCUAAUUCUCCCUCCAUGACGAUGUGCUCUCCUACUCCAAGAUCACUGUCGGGUCCUACCCACCAACCAUACCCUCAGGAAGCCAACUCCGCCUCAUUGGAAAUUCCAAUUCCAUGUUCUCCUCCUCCUAUUACCGUGGCAGAUGUGGCUGCCGGCAACCCCGGAUGCUUGUAUGACUAGUCCAACUCAAGUCGAUACUGCUACUGGGCUAGGAAAGAAACCAUUGCUCUUCUACUCAUUGUUGUGAGGUCGAGAAGUUCUACUAGUAGUGCAAUCCAGGU
Long non-coding RNA from Zingiber officinale, 310 nucleotides. RefSeq lists it as uncharacterized. The transcript is spliced from 3 exons. Lineage: Eukaryota; Viridiplantae; Streptophyta; Magnoliopsida; Zingiberales; Zingiberaceae. The record is from RefSeq and is a predicted model, not a curated record.